UGGGGAAUAUUGCACAAUGGGCGCAAGCCUGAUGCAGCCAUGCCGCGUGUGUGAAGAAGGCCUUCGGGUUGUAAAGCACUUUCAGCGGGGAGGAAGGCGAUAAGGUUAAUAACCUUGUCGAUGGACGUUACCCGCAGAAGAAGCACCGGCUAACUCCGUGCCAGCAGCCGCGGUAAUACGGAGGGUGCAAGCGUUAAUCGGAAUUACUGGGCGUAAAGCGCACGAAGGCGGUCUGUCAAGUCGGAUGUGAAAUCCCCGGGCUCAACCUGGGAACUGCAUUCGAAACUGGCAGGCUAGAGUCUUGUAGAGGGGGGUAGAAUUCCAGGUGUAGCGGUGAAAUGCGUAGAGAUCUGGAGGAAUACCGGUGGCUAAGGCGGCCCCCUGGACAAAGACUGACGCUCAGGUGCGAAAGCGUGGGGAGCAAACAGG
RNAcentral lists this ribosomal RNA (429 nucleotides) under Chloroflexota bacterium. RNAcentral's name for it is "Chloroflexi bacterium partial 16S ribosomal RNA". It matches the Rfam family "Bacterial small subunit ribosomal RNA", at positions 355 to 776 of the family's 1533-position model. Lineage: Bacteria; Bacillati; Chloroflexota. The record is from RNAcentral.